UAGGGAAUCUUCGGCAAUGGACGAAAGUCUGACCGAGCAACGCCGCGUGAGUGAAGAAGGUUUUCGGAUCGUAAAACUCUGUUGUUAGAGAAGAACAAGGACGUUAGUAACUGAACGUCCCCUGACGGUAUCUAACCAGAAAGCCACGGCUAACUACGUGCCAGCAGCCGCGGUAAUACGUAGGUGGCAAGCGUUGUACGGAUUUAUUGGGCGUAAAGCGAGCGCAGGCGGUUUCUUAAGUCUGAUGUGAAAGCCCCCGGCUCAACCGGGGAGGGUCAUUGGAAACUGGGAGACUUGAGUGCAGAAGAGGAGAGUGGAAUUCCAUGUGUAGCGGUGAAAUGCGUAGAUAUAUGGAGAAACACCAGUGGCGAGGGCGGCUCUCGGGUCUGUAACUGACGCUGGGGCUCGAAAGCGUGGGGAGAAAACAGG
RNAcentral lists this ribosomal RNA (429 nucleotides) under Gemmatimonadota bacterium. RNAcentral describes it as "Gemmatimonadetes bacterium partial 16S ribosomal RNA". It matches the Rfam family "Bacterial small subunit ribosomal RNA", at positions 355 to 776 of the family's 1533-position model. The record is from RNAcentral. Lineage: Bacteria; Pseudomonadati; Gemmatimonadota.